This 335-nucleotide unclassified non-coding RNA is filed under the name soil metagenome. RNAcentral describes it as "partial contains 5.8S ribosomal RNA, internal transcribed spacer 2, and large subunit ribosomal RNA". The stretch from base 1 to 120 matches the Rfam family "5.8S ribosomal RNA", at positions 35 to 154 of the family's 154-position model. The record is from RNAcentral.
GAUGAAGAACGCAGCGAAAUGCGAUAAGUAAUGUGAAUUGCAGAAUUCAGUGAAUCAUCGAAUCUUUGAACGCACAUUGCUCCCGCCAGUAUUCUGGCGGGCAUGCCUGUUCGAGCGUCAUUUCAACCAUCAAGCCCCCGGCUUGUGUUGGGGACCUGCGGCUGCCGCAGGCCCUGAAAACCAGUGGCGGGCUCGCUAGUCACUCCGAGCGUAGUAGUUACAUCUCGCUCAGGGCGUGCUGCGGGUUCCGGCCGUUAAAAGCCUUAUUUACCCAAGGUUGACCUCGGAUCAGGUAGGAAGACCCGCUGAACUUAAGCAUAUCAAUAAGCGGAGGA